RNAcentral lists this ribosomal RNA (465 nucleotides) under Vreelandella stevensii. Its description in RNAcentral is "partial 16S ribosomal RNA". It matches the Rfam family "Bacterial small subunit ribosomal RNA", at positions 338 to 795 of the family's 1533-position model. Lineage: Bacteria; Pseudomonadati; Pseudomonadota; Gammaproteobacteria; Oceanospirillales; Halomonadaceae. The record is from RNAcentral.
CCUACGGGAGGCUGCAGUGGGGAAUAUUGGACAAUGGGGGGAACCCUGAUCCAGCCAUGCCGCGUGUGUGAAGAAGGCCCUCGGGUUGUAAAGCACUUUCAGUGAGGAAGAACGCCUGGUGGUUAAUACCCAUCAGGAAAGACAUCACUCACAGAAGAAGCACCGGCUAACUCCGUGCCAGCAGCCGCGGUAAUACGGAGGGUGCGAGCGUUAAUCGGAAUUACUGGGCGUAAAGCGCGCGUAGGUGGCUUGAUAAGCCGGUUGUGAAAGCCCCGGGCUCAACCUGGGAACGGCAUCCGGAACUGUCAAGCUAGAGUGCAGGAGAGGAAGGUAGAAUUCCCGGUGUAGCGGUGAAAUGCGUAGAGAUCGGGAGGAAUACCAGUGGCGAAGGCGGCCUUCUGGACUGACACUGACACUGAGGUGCGAAAGCGUGGGUAGCAAACAGGAUUAGAUAGCCCUGUAGUC